Molecule: ribosomal RNA, 407 nt
Filed under: uncultured bacterium
Lineage: Bacteria
Description: partial 16S ribosomal RNA
Rfam family: Bacterial small subunit ribosomal RNA
Source: RNAcentral
AUUGAACGCUGGCGGCAGGCCUAACACAUGCAAGUCGAACGGAGUGGCGGACGGGUGAGUAAUAUAUCGGAACGUGCCCAGUAGAGGGGGAUAACUACUCGAAAGAGUGGCUAAUACCGCAUACUAUCGGAGCGGCCGAUAUCGGAUUAGCUAGUUGGUGGGGUAAAGGCUCACCAAGGCAACGAUCCCUAGCUGGUUUGAGAGGAUGACCAGCCACACUGGGACUGAGACACGGCCCAGACUCCUACGGGAGGCAGCAGUGGGGAAUAUUGGACAAUGGGGGAAACCCUGAUCCAGCCAUCCCGCGUGUAUGAUGAAGGCCUUCGGGUUGUAAAGUACUUUUGGCAGAGAAGCGGUAUCUGCAGAAUAAGCACCGGCUAACUACGUGCCAGCAGCCGCGGUAAUAC